AUUGAACGCUGGCGGCAGGCCUAACACAUGCAAGUCGAACGAGUGGCGGACGGGUGAGUAAUGUCUGGGAAACUGCCCGGUGGAGGGGGAUAACUACUGGAAACGGUAGCUAAUACCGCAUACCAUCGGAUGUGCCCAGAUGGGAUUAGCUCGUAGGUGGGGUAACGGCUCACUUAGGCGACGUUCCCUAGCUGGUCUGAUAGGAUGACCAGCUACACUGGAACAUAGACACGGUCCAGACUCCUACGGGAGGCAGCAGUGGGGAAUAGUGCACAAUGGGCGCAAGCCUGAUGCAGCCAUGCCGCGUGUAUGAAGAAGGCCUUCGGGUUGUAAAGUACUUUAAGCGAGGAGUCGUGACUCGCAGAAGAAGCACCGGCUAACUCCGGGCCAGAAGCAGCGGGAAUAC
RNAcentral lists this ribosomal RNA (406 nucleotides) under uncultured bacterium. Its description in RNAcentral is "partial 16S ribosomal RNA". It matches the Rfam family "Bacterial small subunit ribosomal RNA", at positions 30 to 526 of the family's 1533-position model. The record is from RNAcentral.